Molecule: ribosomal RNA, 611 nt
Filed under: Rodentibacter caecimuris
Lineage: Bacteria; Pseudomonadati; Pseudomonadota; Gammaproteobacteria; Pasteurellales; Pasteurellaceae
Description: bacterial SSU rRNA
Rfam family: Bacterial small subunit ribosomal RNA
Source: RNAcentral
UUGAAUUGAAGAGUUUGAUCAUGGCUCAGAUUGAACGCUGGCGGCAGGCUUAACACAUGCAAGUCGAACGGUAGCAGGAAGGAAGCUUGCUUUCUUUGCUGACGAGUGGCGGACGGGUGAGUAAUGCUUGGGAAUCUGGCUUAUGGAGGGGGAUAACUGCGGGAAACUGCAGCUAAUACCGCGUAAAGUCUUUGGACUAAAGGGGGCGUUUGCUCUUGCCAUAAGAUGAGCCCAAGUGGGAUUAGGUAGUUGGUGGGGUAAUGGCUCACCAAGCCGUCGAUCUCUAGCUGGUCUGAGAGGAUGACCAGCCACACCGGGACUGAGACACGGCCCGGACUCCUACGGGAGGCAGCAGUGGGGAAUAUUGCGCAAUGGGGGGAACCCUGACGCAGCCAUGCCGCGUGAAUGAAGAAGGCCUUCGGGUUGUAAAGUUCUUUCGGUGAUGAGGAAGGCAGUUUGGUUAAUAGCCAAGCUGAUUGACGUUAGUCACAGAAGAAGCACCGGCUAACUCCGUGCCAGCAGCCGCGGUAAUACGGAGGGUGCGAGCGUUAAUCGGAAUAACUGGGCGUAAAGGGCACGCAGGCGGAUUUUUAAGUGAGGUGUGAAAGCCC